CGGGGGGCAGCAGUGGGGAAUAUUGGACAAUGGGCGAAAGCCUGAUCCAGCAAUGCCGCGUGGAUGAAGAAGGUCUUCGGAUUGUAAAGUCCUUUCGACGGGGACGAUGAUGACGGUACCCGUAGAAGAAGCCCCGGCUAACUUCGUGCCAGCAGCCGCGGUAAUACGAAGGGGGCUAGCGUUGCUCGGAAUGACUGGGCGUAAAGGGCGCGUAGGCGGUUUGAUUAGUUAGGCGUGAAAUUCCCGGGCUCAACCUGGGAACUGCGUUUAAUACAGUCAGACUUGAGUUCGGAAGAGGGUCGUGGAAUUCCCAGUGUAGAGGUGAAAUUCGUAGAUAUUGGGAAGAACACCGGUGGCGAAGGCGGCGACCUGGUCCGAUACUGACGCUGAGGCGCGAAAGCGUGGGGAGCAAACAGGAUUAGAUACCCCCGU
Molecule: ribosomal RNA, 432 nt
Filed under: uncultured Acetobacteraceae bacterium
Lineage: Bacteria; Pseudomonadati; Pseudomonadota; Alphaproteobacteria; Acetobacterales; Acetobacteraceae
Description: bacterial SSU rRNA
Rfam family: Bacterial small subunit ribosomal RNA
Source: RNAcentral